UAAGUCGCAUACAAGAAUAAAUCAAUUGAAAAAUUAUUCCGCGACACAACUGUGAGGCUCUAUUUAAACGGCUGUUAAGCACAAAGCCUGGUAGAUAAAAAUAGACAUAAUAAAGGCUUUUUUUAUGAAAAAAUGCUCGCUUUUUAACAAACAUCUGACAACACAGCACCUUCAAAAGCACCGUACGUGACAUUGAAGGUUUUUUUAAACCGAUCAGCUGAUUUUAGCGAACAGAGAUUUGGGAUUUUUAUCUUCCAAACGGAACUAAAAUAGACUCCGAAUGAUAUAUUGAAGUGUUUGAAAAGGGGAACAAGAGGGCAGCAAAAUGGUGAAAGGACUGCUGGCCUUUUUAGUUGGAGUAUACUCAGGCAUUUAUGUGAGCCAAAUCUACAAUGUGCCCAGAGUUGAUGACCCCCGGGCCAUAUUUGAAAGAGUCAAGGAAUUUGCAGACAAGCACAAAAAAGACUAGUUUUAGUUAGAACACAGUUACUUCAUUUACAUUUGGAAUAGUAGCCGAAAUAUAAUAUAAAUUAAAUGCCA
Dendroctonus ponderosae (mountain pine beetle) is the source of this 540-nucleotide long non-coding RNA. RefSeq lists it as uncharacterized. The transcript is spliced from 3 exons. The record is from RefSeq and is a predicted model, not a curated record. Lineage: Eukaryota; Metazoa; Arthropoda; Insecta; Coleoptera; Curculionidae.